Molecule: long non-coding RNA, 1258 nt
Filed under: Numida meleagris (helmeted guineafowl)
Lineage: Eukaryota; Metazoa; Chordata; Aves; Galliformes; Numididae
Description: lncRNA (ENSNMEG00000000854.1)
Source: RNAcentral
UGUUAAUGGUAUCUCUUAUGAGCUACAGUAUCUCCUGUGUUUGCUUGUGAAAUUCAUCUUGUACUUUUGUGCCGAAGCCGAGUUCUGUACCCUCAGUGAAUGUAAACGAGCAGCUUUGUUGGCAAACCUCUUACCUUGAAUGGCUAAAGGAGAAAAGGAGAUGCUGGAAUAGAGAAGUAAGGAGGUCUGCCAGCAUGGAUGGGAUGCGUUCCAGGUCUUUGGAUUGCAGUUCAAGGUGUGUGUGUCAGGUCACCUUUUGCAGCACCUCUACUCUUUCAGACCGUGCACUUUGGGCUGGUGUGCAACCUUGUCUGAGGCCAAAGCUCCACGUGGACAGACCCUCCUUGUGUCCUGGGCGCUGUUAGUGCUACCUGUGAACAGUUUCACACUACUGAAAGGCCUGAAACUAAGAGGCAUUUGUCCUUGAAACCAGUCAUGAAUGGAAGGUGAUGUUGAGAAGUCGUUAUCCAUCACUCUGGAAGAGUUGGUGAUGGGCAGACUGCCUGGCUUCUGGCAUGGCAUUUGGGUACAGGGGAUGGAAAAACAGAAGCUUAUCCAGAAAUCCUGAAAUACAUGGUCUGAUUUUUCCAGAACUGGAACAAGAGAAGCACCUCACCAAAAGAGAGCAAAUGCUGUCAUUUGACCUUUUCAGCCUUUGGAUUCUCAGUGCAUCUGACUCGACCAGGCAGGUCUGGGGAAGAGAAAAAUUAACAGCAGAUGGAUUUAUGAAAAGAGCUCAGUGGCAGAUGGUGCCUACAGAUAUUUACUGACAUGGCCUCGGUCUUACAGGGGGCCUGUGUUGGAGGACAUGUUGCUGUGACAGUGGUGUCUGUAGAUGAUAUGUUGAAGGAGUGCAGAGUCAUGGUCUUACUACUGAAGUAGUAAAAUCCACUGAAGUCAUCCCAUUCCCUUCUCCUUCAGUAGUAGACACCUCCUCAUGUCAUGGAACAGAGCCACGAUACUUGGUAGUUGACUACUUGAUGUUUAUUAAAACUUCCUUCUCCCAAGACAGUGAUUUUUUUUUCCUAUGUAAUUUUAGAAGAAUGCUUGAAAAAGGUGACUUAGAUGAACCCUACAGGCUCAUUAAACAGUGGCAACUGAUAAAUCUUUUCUUUGAUAGUCUCUUGAAUUUUUAAGUCUUGGAGUUGGUAAUGCCCAUACUAUAGAUGUACGGAAAUGAAUAUUUCAGAAGUGGGCCAUACCUUUUAAGUGGGGUGAUUUGAAUAAAUGAUUUCACUUUUCUUCUGCCUUUUAAUUA